UGUAUAUUUAUAUUUAUAUAUGUUUUAAUACCAAAGGAACUGAAGCUUUACUAACUGGAGGGCAAAAAACAAUCUACUUUUCUUUUUUCUUUCUGCCUUUUCUAGGGUCUUUCUCUAACUCUGGCAGCAGAUGCUACAAGAUCACCAGUGAUGACUAAGAAUUUUGCUGCUUUAUUGCUGAAAGGGGCUGAAGCAUUUAGAUGUGAGGCAGCUGAUCCGGCCAAACCCCACUAUAUCUGUUAGUCAAUGUAACAGCAAAAGUGGCCUCCAUGGGAGAAAAUGGUGGAUGGUGUAGCAAGUUACUGGGUCUCGAAAGGAGCCAUGGCCACUAAGAGUCUCAGCAGUGAACUGAUGUGUUUGGAAGGUGGUAUCACAAUGUGGGGCUGAGCUGAUGAAACGACAGCUAAUGCCGACGCCUGCCAAUGAUGGGAAGAGAACACAGACCUCAAACUUGGGAUCACUGGCCUUUUAUUAGUUCCAUUGGUUUUGAAACUGGAAGGGCUGGAGCACAGCACUUUGCAUCCAGUGGCAGAGGAUCUUAACCCCGAGGUGGUCAUUAUCUUGCUGCAGCUGACUCAU
RNAcentral lists this long non-coding RNA (579 nucleotides) under Calidris pugnax (ruff). Its description in RNAcentral is "lncRNA (ENSCPUG00000007294.1)". The record is from RNAcentral. Lineage: Eukaryota; Metazoa; Chordata; Aves; Charadriiformes; Scolopacidae.